This 24-nucleotide non-coding RNA is filed under the name Arabidopsis thaliana (thale cress). The record is from RNAcentral. Lineage: Eukaryota; Viridiplantae; Streptophyta; Magnoliopsida; Brassicales; Brassicaceae.
UACAUUUGUAUGGCCUCGAUACCU